Paramuricea clavata is the source of this 271-nucleotide non-coding RNA. The record is from the annotation of a GenBank genome assembly. Lineage: Eukaryota; Metazoa; Cnidaria; Anthozoa; Malacalcyonacea; Plexauridae.
GUUUCUUUGCUUAAAAUAGGUUUGGAUAAUCAAACAUUUCUUUUACUUGAAAUAUAAGAUUAUACUUUGUUUGAUAUACCGACUGGUUACAUUUCUUUCAUCUGAGAUAUAAAAAGUUAAUAUUCUUAUGACAUUCUUACAAUGUUUGAAAAUUUGCAUUGAAUUUGAAUAUAAUCACAACCUACUGCGAAAUUCCCAAGUAUCAUGAAUAUAUAGUGUAUAUAUGACCUAUGUGGGUGUGUUGUGCAUGACGUUCAAAAAUAUAUGCGGA